UAUUCAAUAUUUACCGCGAGUCUACCGGCGUCGAUGUAAUCAAUUCACACGCCAUCGAUAGAACCAAUAUCCCGUUAGAGGAUACAUAUUUCAUCUCCACUGGUUUACGGACUUCACACAGAAAAGCAUCGAUUCUCUACAUUCUUCGGCUACCUUACACAAAAUCCACGAAGCGAAGAAUGGUAACGAUCGAGCUGUUAAGAAUUUAGAACGCCCACAUGCUUGAACAGGAUUUUCUCUUUCAGACUCUCAUUGGAUUCUACGAAUUGAUAAAAUUCCUACGUCAUAGGAAAAGCAUCGAAUUAGUACAGGUUCCGAGAUACGCUUUCUAUUUCUGCCCGUUAAUUCCUUCUCCGGAGGUAGCGUUACAGAAGACCUAAAUGGGAUGCAACGGCUGACAAUAAUAUUCGUGGAAAAUUUAUCUCGAAGAAACAAGUCUACCCGUUACGUACACGUGGUUUGCGUUGUUUAUUUUGUGUUUUAUCGUCUCUGGUGUACAUUACAUCUUGCGUUCAUUUAAUUGCUUUCGAACAUUCUACGUGGUUAACAAACAAUGUUAUCUAACAUUUGGAACAGAACUGGUUCGAGUUGUUUGGAGAUGACGGAGUUGUUUUCGAAAAUGGAACACAGUUGCAAUUUGGAACUUUACAAACACGUUACAAACAUUGUACAAACACGUCACAAACACAGGAAGAUGUCGAAAACGAAGCGAAUUACGAAACAGCAACAUUUAGUUUUAGAGUGCAAUGUGUUGUCACCGAGGCGUUGAAUGGUUCGUACGCUUUUGGCCACGCGUCUCCGAGACAUGAAUGGAACGUAAAACGUGCUCAAUCGUAUAAUACGUGUUCCGUAUGAAAAUUACAUCACGCAUGUUUCGAAGCCGGUUAAAUUACCUACGACGCAUGUUCCGUCUCAGAUCUGACCGACUUGGGAUAUCCUACUUUCUAAGCUCUUUUUUUAACUAUCUAGAAAUUAAUAUAGUAACGGAUAGGAAGACUGCUAGAUCAUAUGCAGGGUGUGUAUGUAGAUUGGAAUCCUCACUUUCCUGUACACUAAAAUUACAUUCUCAGAGCCAAGAUUUGAAGACAUAGAAGAAACAGCCAAAUAUUUGUAGACCUCAAUUUCUUGAGAUGUUCAAUAAUACCUUCACACAUGUGUUAAAUAUCUACAUGCUCAGUUGCCAUAUGACUUUCAGUUCAUUUGUACUAAAUAAUUUAACUAAUUCUCUUGAAUCAAAAACGGUCUGAAGAUCUCUAAAGGAUCUGGAUAUAUUUGUAUCCUUAGUUACUAAUUGACUUUGAAUUGAUCAACCCUUAGCACUCCUACAGUGAGAUUCAACAUCAAAUUCUUCUUGUAUUUUAUAAAUAAGUAGCUUGGAAUAUAUUUUAUUUACCACUUAAAUACAUAUAUUUUCCAGAUAGCCACCAAAUUUUAUUGAGCCUUUUGCAAGGAGUAGGUAAAAGAAAUUAAAGAGUGCAAAGGGUUAAUCGUCUAACAGCGAUAAUCGCGUUGAGAGCAGCAAGUAUUUUGGGUAAUAAAUAUUUGAAGCGAUAAGUAACAGUUACAUAAGGGAGAACCGUUAGCUAUCUUCGUGAAAAGAAAAGAACGCGACAGGUUUGAGCAUUUUUAGAAUGCGAAUCAUGUUACUCGAGCGGUGAUUCACUCUUUAUCUGGUUAGAAUUUUGUUUCUGCAUGUCUCGCGUAAUAGUCUACGAAACUCGAGAUGAAUGGUAAUUUUGUUAUCGAGUCUUGUUUGUACUCCUAGAUGUACAGUCAAUGAACUCGAUAAACGCGAGAACCUUCUGACAACUACAAUCUUUAGCUUUCUACAGUAGUUUAUACUUUAAAUUUCUUUAUUGUAAAAAAUGUCUAGUUUAAAUUUCUUCAGUAAAAUUCUUCCACUGCAUUUAACUAAUCAAGUGACCGUCCGCUCGAAAUUUCCACGAUCACUUUUUAUCUGCGGUUGUUUUUUUUGCGUCGUUAUCUGCUUCUUUUCGAUUGAUUUUUCGAACGGUAUCCCAAAACGAUUACGUACACGAUUAUUGCACGUCACGUGGCAAAUAAGCACGCUGUUCCGUUCCCAGAAUCUUUACGCCGUGAAGUUUACGGUAUGCGAAAGGUGUACGGUAGAAGAAACAUUCGAAGAAAAUUGAUGAAAAAUCUUUGCACGUCCCACGACUCCAGGAAUUUUCCAUUCAUAUUUUCUCUAGGUAGAGGAAAGAGGUUCAUUUUCUGCAGAGUUAGCGGUAUGCACCUGAUGCAAACGUGUAACCGAAGCUGUUAUUCCAAGAAAGAUCUUGCGUCAAAUUUAUGCACGCAAGGAGAAAUUAUAUUCGUGAGACACUUUGAUUCCGGAAAAUUCCAUAGAAGUAACUGAGAUCAAAGGACACUAGUUUACAGAUCCAAGAGUCCAAAGAUCUGGGGUAAGCAUUGAUACUUAAUCGUACAUCAAUGAAAGUGUAUUAAGUGGAACCGAUAACAGCCGUUUACGACACGUAUCCCGUACUGUUUCACGACUAUCAAUCAUUCAGGAUCAUUGCACGGUCAGCUCUUUCGCAUAUCAAUUAUUCACAACUGGAAUCGAGAAAUAUAUAGCAAAGGAAGCUCGAAUAAAGACUCGAAGGUGCACAAGUGUGUACCCUAUUAUUUCAAUUAUUUUCACGGGAGGAUGAUGCUAGUUGCGAAUCGAGUCGAGGUAGUAAUUCGACGCGCAAACACGCAAGGGACUGUCCCUGGUUUGAGAUAGCGUAGGCUCGCAGGUAUACAUAGAGUGCACGGCGUUAUGAGGCAGUUAUCGAGAGGCGCCGUGAAACGUGCGAGAUGGCACGCAACCCAUCGCUUAGAUUGCAAGCGUAUGCACCGCGUUGCAAUUUUAUCACUUCGAUUUGAAGUCGAUCGCGUUUACGAUUCUUUCGUAUUAACUUUCGAAGCGUCUCUCAAAUUUUAUUUAGCAAUUCUCAAACUUCUUAGUUUCAUUGUUAACCCCUUGCAGUAUUUUGACUCGUGACGCAAUUACGGUUCAAAUGCGACAAAUCUUACUUGAAUACUUUUCUAUUUGAAGUUCGAGUUCAAUUAUAAUUUGUGUAGUUAGCGAUUGAAUACAAAGUAGUCGCAACAUUUUGACUUUCUUUAAUGAUUUUAAUAUUAUUGAAAUAGUUCUGACGCAACUGAUACAAGGGGUUAACUGAAAUUUUUAACCCUUUG
Molecule: long non-coding RNA, 3204 nt
Filed under: Megachile rotundata (alfalfa leafcutting bee)
Lineage: Eukaryota; Metazoa; Arthropoda; Insecta; Hymenoptera; Megachilidae
Description: uncharacterized LOC105663332, transcript variant X2
Source: RNAcentral